GAUGAACGCUGGCGGCGUGCCUAAUACAUGCAAGUAGAACGCUGAAGGAGGAGCUUGCUCUUCUGGAUGAGUUGCGAACGGGUGAGUAACGCGUAUGUAACCUGCCUGGUAGCGGGGGAUAACUAUUGGAAACGAUAGCUAAUACCGCAUGACAACAGUUAUUGCAUGAUAACUGUUUAAAAGGGGCAACUGCUCCACUACCAGAUGGACCUGCGUUGUAUUAGCUAGUUGGUGAGGUAACGGCUCACCAAGGCGACGAUACAUAGCCGACCUGAGAGGGUGAUCGGCCACACUGGGACUGAGACACGGCCCAGACUCCUACGGGAGGCAGCAGUAGGGAAUCUUCGGCAAUGGACGGAAGUCUGACCGAGCAACGCCGCGUGAGUGAAGAAGGUUUUCGGAUCGUAAAGCUCUGUUGUAAGAGAAGAACGAGUGUGAGAGUGGAAAGUUCACACUGUGACGGUAUCUUACCAGAAAGGGACGGCUAACUACGUG
This 495-nucleotide ribosomal RNA is filed under the name uncultured bacterium. Its description in RNAcentral is "partial 16S ribosomal RNA". It matches the Rfam family "Bacterial small subunit ribosomal RNA", at positions 28 to 507 of the family's 1533-position model. The record is from RNAcentral.